Monodelphis domestica (gray short-tailed opossum) is the source of this 9245-nucleotide long non-coding RNA. RefSeq lists it as uncharacterized. Lineage: Eukaryota; Metazoa; Chordata; Mammalia; Didelphimorphia; Didelphidae. The record is from RefSeq and is a predicted model, not a curated record.
CAUAAAAGGAUAGGUCCCUGGACGUAGAGUCAGAAGACUUGAUUUCAAAUUCCACCUCAAUCACUAUCUGUAUAACCACUUAGUUUCCUUAUCUGAAAAAUAAGGGAGCUGGACUUGAUGGACUCAAAAGUCCCUUCUAAUUUUAAAUCUAUGAUCCUAUAUUCUUUAGUUCAAUCAGUAGCUAAAGGUUGCUUUAAUUAAAUACAAGUGCAGAUCAUAGGAUUUUAGGAUGUAGAGCCUGAAGUGAUUUCUAGUCUACCUCUCUACCUCCCAUUCCAGAAAUUAGAAAACUGAGGUCAAGAGAGGGAACUGAUCUGUCUGAAGCUACAAAAGUAAUAAUAACAUCAUUUCUACAGUAUAUUGCAAUCUCCCUAUGCCCUAUGUAUAGGUAAUAGUUGUUUCUUUUUUUCAAAUGUAGAAACAGCAACUCAAGGGUGUUAAGUGGCCUUGCCUGUGGUUAUUUGGCUAGUAAUAGAGCCAUGACAAGGCUCAGGUCUUCAGUAUUUAAAUUUAGUGUUCCUUCCCCCACACCAGAGUAGGAAGGUCUCUUCAAAAGCCUGGCAUUUGGAAGGAUGAUAUAGUCAGGCCAGUGCUAGUCACUGCCUUGUAGUGAAUUUAAUAUCCUGGACCUACAUGUGGAGUAAAAGGAAAAGAUUCUGGGAAUUCAGUUGGUAUCAUAGGAUCAUAGUUUCAUGAUACUCAUCUCUAUUAAAAGGUGUUUUUCUGAAGGGCUUGGAACUGUUCCCAUUCUCAUAGAGAUACCAAAUCUUCCAUUCUCAAAUAUCAGAAGAACAGAGUUUUUUUCCCUGUUCUAGAAGGAUCACAGGAUUAAAGAAUCGCAGACUUCAAAGGAAAUGACAGUUUGCCUAGUCUAGCCCAUAUGUAACCCAUAGUCCAACACCCCAGACUUUAGGCUUAGAUGAACUGAAUUCAAUUGGGGAGAAGUGGGAAGUGGUAGAAUUCUCCAAAAAUUGUAUCCUCUUGACUUCUUUUGUCCCUACCCAACAUUUCUUCUGGGAACCUGAGAAUAAAGCCCUAAUUUAGAUCUUGCCUCAUACGAGUAAAAGGACCCAACUCCUGUACAAUAAUAACUUAAGCUAAUAUCACUGUUGUCUUAUUUCAUUCCACAGACAACAUGCAGAAAAUAUAAAAGAUUCACAGAAUACACAACAAUCGAAAUACAUUCGGGCUUUCCAGUGAUCCUCAAUUGCCACCUCAGAGAAACAGAUAGAUCCCUACCCAUAUUUAUUUAUAGAUCUAGAACCUCUCUUGGGAGGAAAACUAUACUUGGAGUUGCUAAAGAGAUAACUGGCAGAGAGGUAACCUCUCAUGUUCCAGUAGAUAUUCAGACUUACAAUACUAAUGGAUUGAAGUUAAUUUCUGGAAGAGAAAUUAACUCAGAGGUGACUGUUUUCCCAUCAAACAUGUACCACUGAAAGAACUGACGGUACUACUGGAGGGCAAGGUUCAGUUUUUUUCUGACAAAAGUGUGAGCUAAUUGAAUAAUUCCUAAAGAUGAAACUUAAUCACUAUAUAGUUAGUUAGUUAGUAUCAAUCCCAGGAUUUGAACCCAGGACCUCGAACUCCAUUAUGUUUCAAUGGUAUUCCUUUUAGAAUCUAUGAUUGGAGCCUGGAAAGUCAGUUGAUCAUUCAGUCAACAAGUAUUUAUUCAUUAAGCACUUACUAUGUGUUAGACAAUAUGUUAAAUACUAAGAAAGACAAAAAGCAAGAGACUUAAAGAUCAGCUAAAUUAAACUUCUUCAUUUUACAGAUGGGAAAAUGGAAGCCCAAAGAGAUUGUGACUAGCCCAAGGUAACCAAACAGUAACAAUUCAUACUUAUUCUGUUUUUUAAGAUUAAGAUGUCCUUUCUUUUUUUAUUUUAAUAUUUUUUCCCUCAAUUACAUGAAAAGGCAAUUUUUAACUCUCUUUCUCUCCCUUACCUCUCCUCCAUCUCUGAGAUUACAAGGAAUGUGAUAUAGACUUUUACAUGUGUAUUAAUGUAAAACAUCUUUCCAUAUUAGUCAUUUUGUGAAAGAGAACUCAAACAAAAGUAAAGAAAUAAAUGAAAUAUGGUAUAUUUCAGACUCCAUCAGUUCUUUCUCUGGAGGCAGAUGACAUUUUUCAUCAUGAGUCCUUGAGGAUACCCUUUCUAACAACAAAAUGUGAGGUAGGAAUCCUUUGAUUCAAAGUCCAGGAAUCUUUUCACUCCACCAUACUUGGGUUCAACCACAAAGUAAAACAAACAAAAUAAUUAGGAGGUUCAAGGUGAAAAGAUUCAAAUUUGUCCCCCAGAUCUGCCAAUCCUAACUCAUAGUCAAGAUGUAUUCCACAGAAACAUGAGGUUAUCUGGUUUGACUUGGAAUCAAUGACCAUUAGAGCAGUGAACAACUCAGUAUCAGAGCUAGAAGAAAUCCCAAAUAUCAUUUUGUCUAACCUCUUGAUUUUAUUGAUGGGAAAGCUUAAGCCCUAGAGAGGGUCUCUAUAUCAAAGUGGUUUACUGACAGAGCUAGAAUUAAAACACAAUUAUCAUUCCUUCUUCCAAGUUCUUUUCAUAGUACCACAUUCAUCAGUCGGAGGCAAGAGGAGUGAGUACCUAGAAGAAACCUGGAAUGUUACCUAGUUUCCAGAUGCUCUAACAUUUCUAAAUUUUUUUAAAAAUGUCUCAUCCCUUGCUUUUUCUUUCCUGACCUAAGAAACCUGUGCUUCCGGGGGCCAAUUCUUGGCUGAUGUGCCUCCUUCUGGGGGCUUCAUUCCCAAUUGCCUCUGAACCCUACACUGGGCCAUUCAGCAAGCAGCCUGGUGGGCUCUGAAAAUGAUAGGCCCUCAAGGAUUAAUGACAGAGUAUAAAUCAAUUCGCUUCACGCCGGGAGAACAUGUUUGAUCUGACUGAGCUUUUGCAAAGAGGAGUAAUUAGUUGAUCUGGCAUUUUAAUCAUCAGAAAAUUACCAAAGUCAUUUUGCUUCUCAGAAGCACUGAAAACAGCAAUAAAGGUGGCACUUUUUUUUUCUUGUUACUGUUGGAGAGAUUUCAGUUCCAGGGAGCUCAGCAUGAGUGUGGAUCUCAAGCAUACCAACUCCAGCUGGCUCAUCUCUGGAGAAAAAUGACUCUUCCUACCCUCUCUUAGGAUCAUAAGGCUUUAAACCACUGUAGAAAAGACCUUCAAGUAUCAGAAAAAUGUUAGAGCUGAAAGAGACAUCAGAACACAAACUGUUAGAACAUAACUAUACAAUGUCAGGGCUGAAAGGAGCCCCUGAACAUAAAAUACUGGUGCUCUAAGAGACCUUAGAAAACAAUGUUAGAACUAGAAGAGACCAUGGAUCACAGACUAUUAGAACUUGGAAGGUAAGAACCAAAGCUGUUCUUAGGAUAUAGAAUAUUAGGAUGUGGAAUUUAAGAAUUAGAAGGGACCUUAAAACAAAGAUCGUGAAAUCAGGAAGGGACUUUAGACUCCAAUCAUCUCUUUUUGCAGAGGGGAAAAUGGGAGUACAGAUAAGGAAAAUGACUUGCCCAAGGUGUACUCUUCAAACUAUACUCUCCCCUUCCUAGAUUUUCUCCUAUGUAACUCCUUGUAUUUAUGAGCUCUGAAAAUUACUGAGAACUUAAGACCUCGUUUCCAGAAAAUCUGGACAUGCUUAAGCCAGUUAUGGAAGAUGGGAAUCCUUGAUAUCUAGGCCUACACCCCAAGGAAGAGUUAAGGGAGGGACUACAUUCAAUUCACAAAUAUAAUUCAUUCAUUCAUUAAUUCAACAAACAUUUAUUAAGGGACUGCCACGUGCAAAAGAAUUGAGAUAAUACAAAGAUAAAUGGGUUAGUCUGGAUGACCUGUAAGGUUCCCUCCAAUUCUAUAUGCCUGUUUUAAGUUCUCUACCAGCUCUUACCUUCUAUGAGUCUAGAACCAUGAUGGCAAACCUAUGACACAUGUGUCAGUGCUGACACACAUAGCCAUUUUUGAUAACAUGUGACCACAUGAGGGCUCAGCACACCUUGGGGCUCAGGAGCCACCUGGGGGGUGGGCUUCUCCAUGUGCUGGCCACGGGGGCAGGAGGGUAAGUGGUGGGCAGGGCAGACCAGGCAGCUGGGGAGCAUGGGGUUCCCAUGGGGGCAGGGAGAAGCAUAGGGCUCUGGCCCAUGUGCAAUGGAGGAGUACCUGGAACCAAUUAUCAGACACUUUUAGAACCCUGAAAAAUAUAGCAAUGGCUUUACUCACAAUUUUCCCUUUAUGUACUUUUGUGAGACCUUAUUUCUCAGCAUUAAAUAAUAUCAAAACCAACAAAAGAAACAGAUUAAGUUAGUAGCUCCUGCUUGGACUUGAAGUGUACAAAAUACCAACUUUCAGUUGAAGAUUUAGCCAAUGAAAUUCAGCAACAAAAAAGUCACUCAUCGGCAGGUUUGUUAAAGAAUUCCCCCUCCCUCUCACUUAUCUUAGUUCAAGGCACUCCACACAAAUUAAAUAAUAUCAAGACCAACAAAAGAAACCAACUGACAGAUGAAAAAAGAAGUCACUAAGCAGGUAAGUUAAAUAAUUAGUUUUCUUGUUUAUUAAAUACAGUUAUAUAAUACAAUUAUACAUUUUUGUUAUUUAAGCUAUAAAUAUCACAAAAUUAUGAUUUUUUCUCAAAGUGACACACCACCCUAGUUAUGCUUGUUUUUUUCAUGAAUUUUGACACACCAAGCUCAAAAGGUUGCCCAUCACUGGUCUAGAAGGUACAUAGAUCCCAGGAGAUUCUCUUCACACAAUCCUCAAUACUUACAGAUACUUUUAGAACAGAAACACUAUUUUCUUUUCUUUUUUUUUUAAACCCUUAUCUUCCAUCUUGAAGAGUGGUAAUGGGGGUCAAGUGACUUGUCCAGGGUCACACAGCUAGGAAGUGGCUGAGGUCACAUUUGAACCUAGGACCUCUCGUCUCUAGACUGGCUCUCAAUCCACUGAGCCACCCAGCUUCCCCCUAGAAACACUAUUUUCAAAAUGUAUUUGGACUCUCUUUUUCUCUGGUCCUGAACCACCAAUAGGGACAGUGGGCAAUGUGGGCAUUCACCUUUGGCGGUGACUAGGAUUGGCAGGAUCUCAUGUCUUCUGCACCCUAUCUGCUGUUGUUCUAGCUAGUUAAAUGAACUCCUAAAUCUUGCUGUGAAUCUCAUACCCCACUCCCCAAAGCACAACAAAAAAAGGUCAAUUCUGUCUGAAUACACCUAUUUCCCCUCUGUCCUCAGGCAGAGUUGAUCCAAAGUGACAUACAUACUUCUCUGUCUCAGUUGGCUCAAAAGUUUAGCAAGAAACCAGGCCAAGCUUUGCAGCUGGCUGACCGAAAGGGGAUUUUGGUCACUGGUUGGGAAACUGAUGAUUUCAAGUUUUGGAGGGGUACCAAGCAGGACCCUCAAAAGCAAAAUCAGUGCUACUCCUCAAGUCCUAAUCAUUUUCUGAAGACCUUGUUCAGGAUGGUCUCAUCCCAAUGAUUUCACAUGCCUCACUAUUUUUGUGCCUUACUCUUUCUUUAGUACAUAGGGAAGAUCACAGAAUCAAGAAAUCAUGUAAUCACAAAAUUUCAGACUAUCAUCUUAGACUAAUCAAAAGAUAUGAGAACUGUGAAAAUCCUAGAAUGAAAGAAUCAAAGAAUAUCAUAAUCAUAGAAUCACAGGACCAUAAAAUCAAAGAACUCCAUAAUUAUAUUCUCUUGGAAUCAUGACUGACCAAAUCUUUGAAUUUUGGAAACUUAGACUCAACGACUUGUCAAUUAAUAGAAUUACAGGCUGUUAGAAUAAUGGAAAUUUGAAAUAUUAGAGUCUUAGACUCAUAGUGUCAUAGGAUUUGGAACUGUAGGUUAAGACUCAAAGAACUGCCAAAUCUUGAAUUCAUAAUGUAUUAUAGUGCUUUAGAACUAGAAAAAAUUUGACUCAGUAUCUUAGACUCAUAGAGGGGACGUUAGAGGUUACUUAACCCAAUACCUCUCUAAAAUGUGAAUUCCCUCUAACAAAAUACACUGAUACUAAGGUUGUGGGGACUAAAUGUACUCCCGCUAGAGUGUGCAAAUGCUAUAUUUUCAGAACCCAGAUGGAUGAAGGGUCAAUUGCAGCAUUUCAGGUGCUGAGGUAGGGCAGUGUGGUACAGAUUAUCACUCAGGGUAGAUGUCUAGGUGGCAUUCACAUUCCUCUAUUUGGAUGAAUGCCCACUUGGCCUGGUUGUUAGCGUGGUGUUGGCUGGGAGACCCUAAGGUAGGCCAGAGGAUCCACCUUAAACUGUUACUCCAAGUAUUUCACACAUUGAACCCUCUCUUUCUGAGGCAAAGGAAAGUCAUUUCCUCUAAUCAAUCUCACAAUGCAUUUGCUAUUUUCCCCUCCAUAAUGACUCAUUUAACAGCAACAGAGCAAUUAGGCAGACCACGGAAUAUUGAUUUUUCUAAGUGAAAGAAAUGUUGAUAGAAAUAUCAUUUUGUUUCCAAGACUCAGAGGCUAAUAAUGCUAGCAGCCUCCUGCCUUCCCUGGGAUGGGAUGGACCCAUUUGACAGCUAAGCUUAGUCUUGAGGCUGGAUCUAUUAGCCUCUUACAUCAAACCUGAGACACAAAAGUACUCUGUGACCCUGAGGAAAUUUAUCUGUACUGGUGGCUCAGUGGACUGAGGGUCAGACCCAGAGAUGGGAGAUCCUGAGUUCAAAUCUGACCUCAGACACUUCCCAGCUGUGUGACCCUGGGCAAGACACUUAACCCCCAUUGCCUAGUCCUUACCACUCUUCUACCUUGGAACCAAUACAUAGAAUUAAUUACAAGAUGGAAGUUAAGGAUAAAAAAAAAAGAAAUAGUUAUAUUUGUGAUUCUGUGUAUGUGUGUGUGUAUGUGUUGGUAUAUAAGCUAUGAGGAUAUGUGUUACAUAAGUGAAAUGUGUUUUGUGACAUAAGCAGCAUAUGUGUGUCCUUCACACAGCUGCCAAAACAAUCCUCCUAAGGCACAAAUCUUGCUCAAAAACAAACAAACCACCCUACCCUACAAAUCCUUCUAUAAAGGUCUAAGCAUAGAUGCCAGUAUAAGCUUUCCUUGCUUCCCUAGCUGAAAAUGCUUUCUCCUUCCUCAAAUUUUCCUAGAGGAAUUGAUGUGCAUCAACUCUACAGCUAGAAAGCACAAAUGGAAAAAAAAAAGAAAAUCAUGCAUAUUAAAAUAAAGCCCGCCCUCUUCCCUUCUGGUCUGAUGGAUGAACUUGACACAAUUCUUCUGUAUUUGCCUGUCACCAACAUCAUUACGUCCUGAGCUGUAGCCUGCUAGCAGCCGGCUUCAAGCUCUCUGCACAUGCUGCCUCCAGCUACAAUCAGUGGAUUCCUCCGUGUGGGCAUUCCAAAAGGAAAUUGGAUAACUAGGUCUACAUGUCAGGCUUUUAUACAUCUUCCUGUAGAAUGCUGAACAAAACUUGAAAAUACCAGCCAGUCUGGGCGGUUCUACUCUGAUGCUCAGAUGACUCCAUAUCCCUCCCCCCUGCCCCUCCACCAUGUGGAAUAAUCAGGGACAUCUGCUGCAUUUAGACAGAAGAGAGAAGAAUUAGCAGCAGGGUACACUGAUUAGAGCCCUGGGUUCUAGUCCUGACUUUCACACUUAUUAACUGUGUAACCACACAUAAGCCUGAAUAACAACUACCACACACAUAAGCCAUUUCAGCUUCUUAAUCUAUAAAAUAGAACAAAAAAUGAUAUGUGCUUCACAGAAUUGUUGUUAUUAAAGUGCUUUGUAAAUAGUGUGUCAACCACAUAUAUAAUAUACCCAUAUAGAUGAAUAGGAGAUAUUAGUUAACCUAAAUCAAAUCUGAAAUUCCUGUUUUCCCUGAUCACUUCUCCUCUAUCUGAUCUGGCCCAUCCAAGAAAAUAAUCUGGUAUAGGAGAAAAUGUACUGGUUUUUUUUUUAUUUUAAUUUUUAAAUUUUUUUCUAUGAUUACAUGAUUCGUGUUCUCUCCCUCCCCCCAUCUCUCCCCACUCCUGGAGUUGAGAAGCAAUUCCACUGGGUGUUUAUAUAUAUAUAUAUAAAAUCACUCAAAUCCAUUUCCAUAUUAUUCAUUUUUGUAAAAGAGCAAUCCUUUAAAACCAAAACCCCAAAUCCUGUAUCCAUAUAAACAAGGGACAAAUCACAUUUUCUUCUGGAUUUCUGCUCUCACAGUUCUUUCUCUGGAUAUGGACAGCAUUCUAUCUCAUAAGUUCCUCAGAAUUGUCCUGGGUCAUUGCAUUGCUUUUAGUAGCGUUAAAGGGAUUUUUAAAAGUAGCAAAGUUGAUCACAUUUGAUUGUCCCUUAACCUUACAGUCUCUGGGUAUAAUGUAGGAGAAAAUAUACUGGAAAUGAGUUCAAGUUCUAACUGUGCCACUUAGUGCCUUUGUUCAGCCAUGUCCAACAUUUCAUGACCCCAUUUGGGGUUUUCUUGGCAGAGAUAUUGGAGUGGUUUUCCUUUUCCAGUCCAUUUUACAGAUAAGGAAACAGAGACAAACAGGGUUUAAGUGACUUGGCUAGGUUCACACAGCUUAUCUGUGUCUAAAGCUAGAUUUGAACUCAGGAAGAUAAGUCCUCCUGACUUCAGGCCCAGCACUCUAUCCACUUAGUCACCUAGAUAAUUGACCUUGGGUAACUGUGGGCUUUGAUUUCCUCAGCUGUAAAAUGGGGAUAAAAAUGACUACCAUUUCCAUAACACCUUAGGGUUACAAACCACUUUCCUCAAACAAUCCUGAGAGGUAGGUAAGUGCAAAAUUAUCCCUACUUUACAGCUGAGGAUAAUAUAAUACUUGGCAUGAAGAACCUCUCAUUAUUGUUGUGAAGAAAUCCCCAAGUGCCAAAGAAAUGGGAAUAGCUAUCAUUAUCAUUGUUAUAAUAAUCAGCAAAGGGGAGAAAUUGGUCAGGCAGAGGGUGGGCUCCUGAGUAGAUGGGAUAAGAGAAGGGAUGUUGGAAGGUAGGGUUAUGGGUGGGUGGACAAUAGACUAUGGACCAGGGUUCUAAGUAGCUAAGGCAGGGUGGACAAGCAGAUUUAUCUUGGAUAUGAUGGGCUUUCAAGUGGGAGGAGUGCCCAAAACAAAAUUUUCCCAUUACAGUUUUUUACCUUUCCCCAAAACAAAAUUUUCCCAUUACAGUUUUUUACCUUUCCCCUAAGUUGAGGCAUUGGCAUUAGGCAUAAGCUUGGAGCCCUAAAGUUGGACGUUUUGUUUUAAUUAGAAUGAGUGAGGCUGGUGGGAGUCCAAGGAAUAUAUGAUCAAAUAUAACCCAAACAAUGACUCACAGAAAAGGAAGA